Molecule: ribosomal RNA, 32 nt
Filed under: Aspergillus wentii
Lineage: Eukaryota; Fungi; Ascomycota; Eurotiomycetes; Eurotiales; Aspergillaceae
Also listed under: 1 other name
Description: partial 5.8S ribosomal RNA
Source: RNAcentral
AAACUUUCAACAAUGGAUCUCUUGGUUCCGGC